This 201-nucleotide ribosomal RNA is filed under the name uncultured bacterium. RNAcentral describes it as "partial 16S ribosomal RNA". It matches the Rfam family "Bacterial small subunit ribosomal RNA", at positions 524 to 721 of the family's 1533-position model. The record is from RNAcentral.
UACGUAGGUGGCAAGCGUUGUCCGGAUUUAUUGGGUUUAAAGGGUGCGUAGGCGGCUUAAUAAGUCAGUGGUGAAAGCCGAUCGCUUAACGAUCGAACUGCCAAUUGAUACUGCUAGGCUUGAGUAUAGAUGAGGUAGGCGGAAUUGACAGUGUAGCGGUGAAAUGCAUAGAUAUUGUCAAGAACACCAAAUUUGCGAAGG